RNAcentral lists this long non-coding RNA (1318 nucleotides) under Equus caballus (horse). Its description in RNAcentral is "lncRNA (ENSECAG00000044151.1)". Lineage: Eukaryota; Metazoa; Chordata; Mammalia; Perissodactyla; Equidae. The record is from RNAcentral.
GUAAGUCCUCCAGAUAGCACAAAAUUGCUUAUUAAGUGAGACACAAAACUGUAGUGAAAGUUGGAAACAAAAGACUGGUGUGAGACUGUGUGCAGGAAGUGUGAGUCUUGGUGGAGCUGAGACAUGAGAGAAGUGAGGGACCUGUCUGAACGUUCCAUGUUUGCAGACUGAGGGACUUGUGUAAGGUGUCAGGUAUGAUCGUGUCCAAAGUCAAGGGGCGGUCUUACUUUGUUGGCUUGUGUCUGCCUCUGCAUUGGCCGACGGGCUGCUUGAGGGAGGGGUUUGGAGCAUCACUGUUCUCUCUCCAGAAUCAGCCCUGUGCCUGGCAAGUGGUAGGUGUUGAAUAAGUGUUCAGUGAGUGAGCAAUUGAGUGAGCCCAUCUCAGGAACCAGGUUCCAAGGACUGAGCAGGACUAGCAUAUGGGAAGCUGUAUCAGGACACUCAACUAUGACCACAGAGUUUCCGCCUAGGGACGGAAUGAGUAGAAGCAUCUGGGGUGAGGCAAGCCCUUGCUGAGACAUUCCAGCCGAGAAGUUUGGAGAUCUGCAGAGACCUUGAAUCCAGCAUUGCAAAAGCUUCCUGCUUCCAUUGAGGAAGAUGAGAAAGAAGCCAGCCAUCUCCCUCCUCGCUGGCCCUCAAGAAUCCUAGCUCUCAAGCCCUCAGUUGGAGCUGGACAGUGGAGGGAAGGUUCAGGUCUCUUCCAUUCUGCCCACUGGAGGAUCAUAAAGGAAAAUGGCUUACCUAGCGUGGCCUCAGACAAACGGAGGGUGCGUUUAGAUGGACAUGAACUCAGCCUUCAACUAGAUCAACCCUUGAGCUGUUCUGGACCACGUGACAUUCAGAGAUUCAGAGACUGAAUGACCCACAGCACUAGUUCCCAACACUGCUCAGGGGACUAAGUUUUUACUUGCCCUUAGAACUCCUAUUGAGGAAAUUUCCAGCUUCGCUCUGUAAGGCAGGGACGGCCAUAAUGGUUCUGUCCCAAAAGUGAGGAGCAAUGACCGGGGAGGGCCCCAGCCACUCACCUGGCCUUCCUAGCUGCCUAUUGUGGGCAAGGUGGAAGAAAGGGCUUGGGAACAUGAGAACUGUCGUUCCUUCGCAUCUCAGUUUGCCUAAGACUAUGUCAAAUUAAUUGAAACAGUAUUAGGACUGACAUUUUCUAUUUUUCUCAUAUCAACGUGAAAUGGAAUUUUUGAUAGUGACUGUGAUGAAAAUGAAACAUCAAAACAAGUUGCACUUCACAGCCCUUCCUCAUGGGUGCUAUCAAAUACAUUGAGCGCUACCGAGUUAAAAGAAAACUUGUACCAAGGAAACAUAA